GGUAUCCUGUCUGAAUAUGGGGGGACCAUCCUCCAAGGCUAAAUACUCCUGACUGACCGAUAGUGAACCAGUACCGUGAGGGAAAGGCGAAAAGAACCCCGGCGAGGGGAGUGAAAAAGAACCUGAAACCGUGUACGUACAAGCAGUGGGAGCACAGAGCAAUCUGUGUGACUGCGUACCUUUUGUAUAAUGGGUCAGCGACUUAUAUUCUGUAGCAAGGUUAACCGAAUAGGGGAGCCGAAGGGAAACCGAGUCUUAACUGGGCGUUAAGUUGCAGGGUAUAGACCCGAAACCCGGUGAUCUAGCCAUGGGCAGGUUGAAGGUUGGGUAACACUAACUGGAGGACCGAACCGACUAAUGUUGAAAAAUUAGCGGAUGACUUGUGGCUGGGGGUGAAAGGCCAAUCAAACCGGGAGAUAGCUGGUUCUCCCCGAAAGCUAUUUAGGUAGCGCCUCGUGAAUUCAUCUCCGGGGGUAGAGCACUGUUUCGGCAAGGGGGUCAUCCCGACUUACCAACCCGAUGCAAACUGCGAAUACCGGAGAAUGUUAUCACGGGAGACACACGGCGGGUGCUAACGUCCGUCGUGAAGAGGGAAACAACCCAGACCGCCAGCUAAGGUCCCAAAGUCAUGGUUAAGUGGGAAACGAUGUGGGAAGGCCCAGACAGCCAGGAUGUUGGCUUAGAAGCAGCCAUCAUUUAAAGAAAGCGUAAUAGCUCACUGGUCGAGUCGGCCUGCGCGGAAGAUGUAACGGGGCUAAACCAUGCACCGAAGCUGCGGCAGCGACGCUUAUGCGUUGUUGGGUA
This 804-nucleotide ribosomal RNA is filed under the name Escherichia coli. RNAcentral describes it as "partial 23S ribosomal RNA". It matches the Rfam family "Bacterial large subunit ribosomal RNA", at positions 428 to 1230 of the family's 2925-position model. The record is from RNAcentral. Lineage: Bacteria; Pseudomonadati; Pseudomonadota; Gammaproteobacteria; Enterobacterales; Enterobacteriaceae.